GGGGAUAUAGCUCAGCGGUAGAGCGCUCGCUUUGCAUGUGAGAGGCCUCGGGUUCGAACCCCGAUAUCUCCA
Molecule: transfer RNA, 72 nt
Filed under: Strongylocentrotus purpuratus (purple sea urchin)
Lineage: Eukaryota; Metazoa; Echinodermata; Echinoidea; Camarodonta; Strongylocentrotidae
Description: tRNA-Ala (TGC) (tRNA-Ala-TGC-5-1)
Rfam family: tRNA
About the family: Transfer RNA (tRNA) molecules are approximately 80 nucleotides in length. Their secondary structure includes four short double-helical elements and three loops (D, anti-codon, and T loops).
Source: Rfam by way of RNAcentral